UAGGGAAUCUUCCACAAUGGGCGCAAGCCUGAUGGAGCAACACCGCGUGAGUGAAGAAGGGUUUCGGCUCGUAAAGCUCUGUUGUUAAAGAAGAACACGUAUGAGAGCAACUGUUCAUACGUUGACGGUAUUUAACCAGAAAGUCACGGCUAACUACGUGCCAGCAGCCGCGGUAAUACGUAGGUGGCAAGCGUUAUCCGGAUUUAUUGGGCGUAAAGAGAGUGCAGGCGGUUUUCUAAGUCUGAUGUGAAAGCCUUCGGCUUAACCGGAGAAGUGCAUCGGAAACUGGAUAACUUGAGUGCAGAAGAGGGUAGUGGAACUCCAUGUGUAGCGGUGGAAUGCGUAGAUAUAUGGAGGAACACCGGUGGCGAAAGCGGCUCUCUGGUCUGUAACUGACGCUGAGGCUCGAAAGCGUGGGGAGCGAACAGGAUUAGAUACCCUGGUAGUCCACGCCGUAAACGAUGAGUGCUAGGUGUUAGACCCUUUCCGGGGUUUAGUGCCGCAGCUAACGCAUUAAGCACUCCGCCUGGGGAGUACGACCGCAAGGUUG
Molecule: ribosomal RNA, 550 nt
Filed under: uncultured bacterium
Lineage: Bacteria
Description: bacterial SSU rRNA
Rfam family: Bacterial small subunit ribosomal RNA
Source: RNAcentral